AGCAGUCGCCGCGGGAAAACGUAGGUGGCAAGCGUUGUCCGGAUUUAUUGGGCGUAAAGCGAGCGCAGGCGGUUUCUUAAGUCUGAUGUGAAAGCCCCCGGCUCAACCGGGGAGGGUCAUUGGAAACUGGGAGACUUGAGUGCAGAAGAGGAGAGUGGAAUUCCAUGUGUAGCGGUGAAAUGCGUAGAUAUAUGGAGGAACACCAGUGGCGAAGGCGGCUCUCUGGUCUGUAACUGACGCUGAGGCUCGAAAGCGUGGGGAGCGAACAGGAUUAGAGACCCCAGUAGUCCCUGUCUCUUAUAC
RNAcentral lists this ribosomal RNA (303 nucleotides) under uncultured bacterium. RNAcentral's name for it is "partial 16S ribosomal RNA". It matches the Rfam family "Bacterial small subunit ribosomal RNA", at positions 507 to 807 of the family's 1533-position model. The record is from RNAcentral.